UACGAAGGCCUCAAGCGUUAUCCGGAAUUAUUGGGCGUAAAGCGUCCGCAGUCGGUCUUAUAAGCGUGUCGUCAAAUCUCUGGGCUCAACCCAGGGGCUGCGAUGCGAACUGUAAGGCUAGAGCAUGGAAGGGGCAUCUGGAAUUGUCGGUGUAGUAGUAAAAUGCGUUAAUAUCGACAGGAACACCAAAAGCGAAAGCAUGAUGCUAGAACAUUGCUGACGAUCAGGGACGAAAGCGUGGGGAGCGAAU
RNAcentral lists this ribosomal RNA (250 nucleotides) under uncultured bacterium. Its description in RNAcentral is "partial 16S ribosomal RNA". It matches the Rfam family "Bacterial small subunit ribosomal RNA", at positions 524 to 773 of the family's 1533-position model. The record is from RNAcentral.